This 1338-nucleotide long non-coding RNA is filed under the name Rattus norvegicus (Norway rat). Its description in RNAcentral is "uncharacterized LOC130014439 (LOC130014439)". Lineage: Eukaryota; Metazoa; Chordata; Mammalia; Rodentia; Muridae. The record is from RNAcentral.
CAGGGGGAAAUUUUUGUUUAGCUAAGGACUAAGAAAUAUUAAACUUAAUUAUUAGAUAUGGGAGUGUAGCACAGUAAGUGCUUGUCUUACAUGCGCAAGGAAGGCCCUGGAUCCAGCAACACAUACGUGCUUCUACUGGGAGUUGGAGAAGAACGCAUCAAGAUUGAGAAGUCAUUUCUCUUGCCACCGCAUAGACAGAUGGUCGAAAGUUUUAAAAAAGAAUAAGAUUCCUCAUAAGGUUCCUCAUUCUGCUUUGCCGCAUUUUAAAGGACUGAAAAAAUACAGCUCUGCUCUUCUUUAUGAGUGUUGCUACGUGGGAUGACCACUGAAGUCAAUACAGUCCUGGUGAGAGUCACCCUUGGGGAUGCUGAGACGCGAAGAUAUAUUUAUGCCAGUACCCUGCUUGAUCCUGCCUACGACCACCUCAGUUAUGUUUCAUCAAAAACCUGCAUCCAAGACAAUUUCUAAAUGGCUAGCUAGAUUGUCCAGCACUACAGACUAUUCCGGUCAGGACUUCACUUAAGCCCAGAACUUUCUCAGCAUGCAGAGACUGGACAGGAAGUGCUAUGGCUAACUUUCUUGAGACUGACCAACAUCCCGAUUUGAGGGUGGGGCAAAAUAAAAAUGAUGCUCCAAGUCAGCAGGAAGCAGUUUUAAGAGAGUGAUACCCCCAUUUCCAAAAGGCUUUUUUGGCAGUGCGACAAGUCAGCUCCUGGCAGCACCCCCAUUCUACUUCAAGAAGAUGAUGACCAUAGAAGAACCUAGCCAGCGGACAAAAAAACUGCCCUUGCUUCAACUGCGCACAGAACGCUGUCCAAAAUGACAAAGAGCGUGCAGCGAAGGUGACCGCUGAGCUUUGCCAAGACAAAGUAAGCAAUUCUUCAUCAUUCCUGCUCCACAGAAAAGUCUGUCAGACAUUCUUGGCCAGAAGACUAAAGAUAGAUGCUCCAAUGUUAUAGAGAAUAUUUGGGGGGACUGUCUAGGCAGCCUGUGGGAAAACUCUGCUAAUUAAGGUCGAACUCCACCAUGACUGGAUAGCCUCUGAGCUCAGCACAAAAUGGAAGAUUCUCUUCUUUAGCAGGUUUUCUCCUCCUUUAACCUUGUCCAGGGGACUCUAAGCCCGACACUGGCCUCUACCAGAGGAAUGUCACAUAGCCUUAAUUAAGGAUCAAUUCUCUUCCACCUGACAAAGCUUGUUCAGCUAGCAACUGAGAUUCCUGAAAAUGCCUCUCCAUGCUAAUGAGGUAUGCCAGGUACCCUAAGUCCCCAGCCAAUGACCUACACCCAUCCCAAAAUUCAAACCUUUAUUCACCCGAAAUAAAGUUGAUCUCCUGCUGA